UACGUAGGGGGGCAAGCGUUGUCCGGAAUCAUUGGGCGUAAAGAGCGCGUAGGCGGCCCUGUAAGUCCGCUGUGAAAGUCAAAGGGCUCAACCCUUGAAUGCCGGUGGAUACUGCAGGGCUAGAGUCCGGAAGAGGCCGAGUGGAAUUCCUGGUGUAGCGGUGAAAUGCGCCAGAUAUCAGGAGGAACACCGAUGGCGAAGGC
RNAcentral lists this ribosomal RNA (203 nucleotides) under uncultured bacterium. RNAcentral's name for it is "partial 16S ribosomal RNA". It matches the Rfam family "Bacterial small subunit ribosomal RNA", at positions 524 to 722 of the family's 1533-position model. The record is from RNAcentral.